RNAcentral lists this long non-coding RNA (368 nucleotides) under Hordeum vulgare. Its description in RNAcentral is "long non-coding RNA (HVUL_LNC013663)". The record is from RNAcentral. Lineage: Eukaryota; Viridiplantae; Streptophyta; Magnoliopsida; Poales; Poaceae.
UAUGAUGUAGUAUGAUAGGAUGGUAUCCUCCUUUGAAUUAUUCAAGUGGCUUGACUUGGCGCAUGUUUACGCAUGUAGUUGAAACAAAAUCAACAUAUCCUCUAUGAUAUUCAUGUUUAUGGUGAUUUAUGUCCCACUCAUGCUUGCACUCAAUGUUGGUAAAUUUCAAUGCAUAUUGAUGACUGUUGUCGCUCUCUAGUUGGUCGCUUUCCAGUCUUUUGCUAGCCUUCACUUGUACUAAGCGGGAAUACUGCUUGUGCAUCUACUUCCAUAAACCCAAAGUUGUUCCAUAUGAGUCCACCAUACCUACCUAUAUGAGGUAUCUACUUGCCGUUCCAAGUAAAUUUGCAUGUGCCACUCUCUAAACC